This is a long non-coding RNA of Daphnia magna, 702 nucleotides long. RefSeq lists it as uncharacterized. The record is from RefSeq and is a predicted model, not a curated record. The transcript has 3 exons. NCBI's taxonomy places the organism in Eukaryota, Metazoa, Arthropoda, Branchiopoda, Diplostraca, Daphniidae.
UAAGGGUUUGUUUUGGUAGUCGAUCCCACGAGACAAAUCCAGCUAUUGUGAGUGUUAGGUGGUGGGAACGAGGUAACGUCUAUGAACCAUGUAUUAAAAUUGGACCAAGAAAAACUUUGCCAAGAAGCCUCUUAUUGAUUGACAUUCUAAAAUAUGUCAGAAGUUGCCCCAUCUCAUCUGCCAAAAAACACGAUAAAGUGAGAAAUGCUAUAACAGCAAAAAAUCGAGAGAAAAGAAUGAGGAAUUUAAAUAUCACAUAUGCUAAAUGGUAAGCGAAGGAGGACUGUCAACAACAAUUCUAGAUGCAGUUCAGGUUCAGCUGCUAAUGUGUCCCUGGAAGAGGGGCUGUCAUCCCCCAUAGUUGAAAGGACAGUGUACCACUGCCCCUACUGCUCUUUUUGGCAUCAGACACUUGAUGGCUUUCAUGGCCAUUUAACUAAGAAUCACCAACAAGGGGAUCAAACGUACCAAUGCACGUACUGCCACUUAACCGCGGAUUCUCGCCGCGAUAUUUGGAAUCAUAUACAUCGGCUUUCGCAGAAAGAUAGCGUCCACAAAAGAGCUACAUGUCUCGUGCGCUCGAAAAAUCUUAUCGAACGCUACGCUGUUUAUCUGAAAACAGUGCAGGUGCCAGCAUCUGCCAAAUGUGGUCAACUGUCCCAAAAUUCCAUCAGUGUCAAUGACUCUUUCCUCGCGAACCAA